AGGGGGUUGUGGUAAAUGCGAAAAGGGGUUACAGGCGUGUUGUAGUUGAGUCCACUUCAAAAAACAUGGUGUACAUAUCGUCUCAAAAUGGUUUUUACUGUGAGAAACUUGAUUUUGAUCAAUACUUAGUGUAAAUUACUAAGUACACAAGUACUAAAAGUUUCUGAUGAUUUUGAAUUAGUAUUUUUCUCAGUGCACCCGUUUUUUUUGAGCCCGCAUGCUGACAGAAACUUGUGCCCCGUUUUGUUUGUUCUCACUUCUGAAAAGGUGGCUAGACUUAUGGAAGGAUGCGAGUAUCUAUAUCCCUCUUCAUUUCCCGGUGCUAAAUGAACUUUAAAUCUAUGCCUCACUCGAAAACCCUUUAAAUGAAACAAACUUCAGCCUUUUAAACCUAUAAAAACCCUCUAAAAAAACACUUUUAAAGAGCACCCAAACCAACAUUGACUUUCUUGCCGCCUGCACAACCAGAAGAAGUGCAAGAAACCGCAAUAAUCAAAUCACUUGAACAACAGAUAUCCGACUUUUUCCUACAUUUUCCCUUAAUGCCCAGGAAAAAAUAUCAGGAAAUGGCUUUAGACUUGAGUCCAAGAACGGAUAGGAAGAAACAACUGAGCAUUGUAUCGAGAAAUUGAAUCACUCUCUGCUGCGAAUUUCAUUUUUCUCGCUUUCUCUGCCAUUUUGAAAACCAUCUUUGCAUAGUGGAAAGUCUAUUGGAAUUGGUUCAAUAAAGAUAGUCAGAUUGUGGGAGUAUCAGUAAGUUUAAAGUGUCUUUGGCUGUAAAUGUUAUCUGCCCUUACAUUUCCAUAAUGUGAGUAAAUCAUUAGUGCCCAUCUAAAUUGCAGUGCAGCCUAAGCAAUUGUUUCAAUAACUGCUCUUAGCUCAUGUACUGCCCACUGUAAGUUGUGUGCUGCCCAAGGACUCGCAGGAUCUCCACCCUUUGCUCCUGGCUAAGCGCACAUUUUAGCAUUUCGCAGUGGUGCCAGUGUCCUUUUGGUGUCCUUGUCGCCUUCGUAGCCUCCGUCGCCUUCAUCGCCGAUGCGGUCCAUUGAAGUUUAUUGCUGAGAAAAUGCAAACCUAUAUAUUGCCGCAUUUGCAGCAUUUCAACUGCUGCUACUGUUUCUGCUGCCACUCGGAGUCCCCACACUUCUUCUGGGCAGCAAAUUAGUUUCGGUUUCCAUUCGCCUGCUGUUUGCCCUCCAGUUGCCAACAGUCCGACGGAUUGGUCCGCUUGGCUGGACCCAGCUGCACUCAGAAAAAAACCAAGAAUCUUCUAAGAGUUUAGAGUCAAGUCACAACACUUUUCCUUUAAUCUAAGCUCCAGUCUUGCAGUGAAUAUCCAUAGAAAGUUUUCCCAAACGAACAUUGAUUUUUCCGAGUGUGCUAAGCUUGACUUGUGCAAAUAUUCGACCGGCAGUCAUUAGUAAAAUUUUGACGGCAACUCAAUUCCGAAGGGGAUUAGGAUGCUGGACGAGCAGUUUGGAUCAAGUUGAGCGAGCUCCUGGCAUCUGGAUACUUGGCUCGCCUGGUGUUGGUUUGUUUAUGAAGCCAUAUGUUGCGAUAUCGAUGGCAGCAAACUUCGGCAGUGUCAGCCAUACAAAUGAGUCCCAGAAGAGUGUUUUUUGGGCCAUAUGGGGAAGAUCAAUACGGUUGGGAGGAGUGUAUGAGGCAUGUUAAUCAUGAAUCACUUCAUUAAUCAUUCCUGUGAGUGCUGCUAUCGAGUAACUUGUACAUAUGAGACUUCAAAUCAAGUACACUUUGCUACGACAUGCAAUGGAUUUAGCUCCUUCAGCUUCUGCCUUUCAAAUCCCCUGACAGAACUGAGAAUAAGUUCCUAUUUCCCUUGAUGUGAAUCCCGUCUUGCAUAGUUGGGUAAUAUGUUCAUUAUGAAAUUUGCAUCAAUAAUUUGCAUUUCCCAGCUACUUGACCCUGACAUCCGGAAGGAAUUCGUAUCCCACUGCUGGGGGGAUAAGGAUAACUUCAAGCGGGACUUCGCUCGGAGCUGGAAAUCUCAUUAAAGCCAACGAAGCAUGUUCACUCCCCAGGGGGCAAAUCGGAGGGGACUCGAACAACCUUAAGCUGCCAUCAGCAAAGAUUUUGUUGCACAGCUCCUUUCACUACCGCAACACUACAGCAAGGGGAAGGGCAGCCAAAUGCAAUUGCCAACAAGUGGGGUGCAAAAUAAAUUCCAGAUUAAAUAUUGA
Long non-coding RNA from Drosophila santomea, 2201 nucleotides. RefSeq lists it as uncharacterized. The record is from RefSeq and is a predicted model, not a curated record. The transcript is spliced from 2 exons. NCBI's taxonomy places the organism in Eukaryota, Metazoa, Arthropoda, Insecta, Diptera, Drosophilidae.